RNAcentral lists this ribosomal RNA (429 nucleotides) under uncultured Sutterella sp. Its description in RNAcentral is "bacterial SSU rRNA". It matches the Rfam family "Bacterial small subunit ribosomal RNA", at positions 355 to 776 of the family's 1533-position model. Lineage: Bacteria; Pseudomonadati; Pseudomonadota; Betaproteobacteria; Burkholderiales; Sutterellaceae. The record is from RNAcentral.
UGGGGAAUUUUGGACAAUGGGGGCAACCCUGAUCCAGCCAUGCCGCGUGCAGGAUGAAGGCCUUCGGGUUGUAAACUGCUUUUGUCAGGGACGAAAAGGACCGUGUUAAUACCAUGGUCUGCUGACGGUACCUGAAGAAUAAGCACCGGCUAACUACGUGCCAGCAGCCGCGGUAAUACGUAGGGUGCAAGCGUUAAUCGGAAUUACUGGGCGUAAAGCGUGCGCAGGCGGUUCUGUAAGACAGGUGUGAAAUCCCCGGGCUCAACCUGGGAAUUGCAUUUGUGACUGCAGGACUAGAGUUCAUCAGAGGGGGGUGGAAUUCCAAGUGUAGCAGUGAAAUGCGUAGAUAUUUGGAAGAACACCAAUGGCGAAGGCAGCCCCCUGGGAUGCGACUGACGCUCAUGCACGAAAGCGUGGGGAGCAAACAGG